AACGAACGCCGGCGGCGCGCCUAAUACAUGCAAGUCGAGCGAGAAGACGUAGCAAUACGUUUGUAAAGCGGCGAACGGGUGAGGAAUACAUGGGUAACCUACCCUCGAGUGGGGAAUAACUAGCCGAAAGGUUAGCUAAUACCGCGUACGCUCCUUGGACUUCGGUUCAUGGAGGAAAGCGAUACCGUGGGUAUCGCGCUCUUGGAUGGGCUCAUGUCCUAUCAGCUUGNGGUGAGGUAACGGCUCACCAAGGCUUCAACGGGUAGCUGGUCUGAGAGGACGAUCAGCCACACUGGCACUGCGACACGGGCCAGACUCCUACGGGAGGCAGCAGUAAGGAAUAUUGCGCAAUGGGCGAAAGCCUGACGCAGCGACGCCGCGUGGGGGAUGAAGGUCUUCGGAUUGUAAACCCCUUUCGGG
Molecule: ribosomal RNA, 420 nt
Filed under: uncultured bacterium
Lineage: Bacteria
Description: bacterial SSU rRNA
Rfam family: Bacterial small subunit ribosomal RNA
Source: RNAcentral